GAUAAUCCAGGAUUGCCUCCUCAUCUCUCAAUCCUCAAUUAUGUCUGAACAGACCCUUUUCCCAAACACGGUAAUAUGUUCCGGGGAUGAGGACUUGAUAUCUUUGGGUGACCGUUAUUCAGUCUGCUCCACCUGGGGAACAGUCAUUGACUUGUCUCUCAGUUACAUCAGACCAAUUUUAUAGCUAAACUUGUGUGGAUCAACUUUGGUAAUCUGACUGCUGCCAGAAUGAAUCUAACAACUAAAGAAACAAUUUUGAGCCUUUGCUAUGCCAAGUACAGUUGAUAUCCAGCAGCUUACCUUGCCUCAGGAGAAAGGUGCCACCAUUGUCUCAUUUUACUGAUGAAGUGACUGAGGCUCGGAGCUCUUUAAUCACCUUCGAAGGUCUGCUGAGUUAGUUGGAAACAGCAGUGAACUCUUGGUUGCCUGUAUUCUUCAAGGCAAUAAGACUGCAGAGUGGUGGCCUUAAGUCAGGAGUGGGCAGGGGAUUUUGGUGACCUAAUUUCUACCACCAGAUUGAUGGAAAACCAUGCAGAGUUAUUCUGCUUGUAUGAAUUUGACUUCGUCUAGCACAGUGAAAGGACUGUGGAGAGGGAAUUAUUAGGGAAAAAUCAAAAGGCCAGUGAGAAGGUUUGAAUGAAGAUUCGGUUGGCUUUGAUUGAGUUUAACAUUCAUGUUUGGGUUAUCUGGGAAAUUCAGUUGUGGCAAUGCUUUUACAAACACCGUUUUCACACAGUAUAGUAUACAAGUGUUAACUAUACCAUUAUCCCACUAGUCCUAUUUUCCCUAGCACUGUGACCAUGGAACUUUAAAAAUGAACUUGUUGAGGGACUGGGGAUGUGGCUCAAGCGGUAGUGCGCUCGCCUGGCAUGCCUGCGGCCAGGGUUCGAUCCUCAGCACCACAAACAAACAAGGAUGUUGUGUCCACCAAAAACUAAAAAAUAAAUAUUAAAAAUUCUCUCUCUCUCUCUCCCUCUCUAAAAAAAGAUGAACUUGUUGAAAUUAAAAAAAGAAAAAAAAAAACUUGCUAGUGUUUCACUGAGUUUAUAUUUCAAUACUUCGCAUUAGAAGUAUUGUGAGAAAAAGAGAAGAUAUUGUGAAAUAUCUAAGAAAUAUUUCUUUGGAAUCAUUUUUAUAAUCUUCCUUCAUGCUGUCAUUUAACUUUGGAAUAAAUUAACAAAUGGAGUUUCCCCUAACUGCAGAAUUUGUUUUGUUGAGAUUCAUGGCAAAACCCCGAGAAUGCCUACUUGCAACUCCAUUUGAGGAGAUUCAUUUUAUUUAAGUCUUUCUGAAGUGUGUUUGAUUUGGAUGUUAAGUGCAUGUUUGCUUAGGGCUCCAGCCCAUUAACCUCUGCCAGGCCUCUGCUUGUCUGGCUUCUGCUCCUCUCUUGACCUGGGCUGGUGCCUGCAGAAUCUGGGUGAGACCACUUGCUCUCCACAGGAGGGCCUCCCAUUUUUUCCUUCCCUUUCUGUUUUGCUGUUAGAGGAUCUGUUUUGUUUUUUUUUUUCCCCCUGAGGUCCACUGAUACUCUGUGUUCCUCCAACUUCAUUUCUACAACUGCUGGUUGGUAGCUUCGGCUUUCAAAUGGGCAAACCUGCUUUCUGUCUCAGAAUUAGUGGUUUUUAUCCUUUCAGGGCUCGUGCUGUGGCAUACACAGUGGCCUGUGGAGUCUGCUUAGCGCAGGAUUCACAAUGGAGCAUUGAUCCCUGCUGCCAUGUGGCACCCCAGCUUCUGCAGCAAAC
Molecule: long non-coding RNA, 1742 nt
Filed under: Marmota monax (woodchuck)
Lineage: Eukaryota; Metazoa; Chordata; Mammalia; Rodentia; Sciuridae
Source: RNAcentral